This is a non-coding RNA of Bacillus sp. 2_A_57_CT2, 104 nucleotides long. NCBI's taxonomy places the organism in Bacteria, Bacillati, Bacillota, Bacilli, Caryophanales, Bacillaceae. The record is from Rfam.
UUCUUAUCCAGAGAGGUGGAGGGACUGGCCCUUUGAAGCCUCGGCAGCAGGUUCUGAUGAAUACUGUGCCAAUUCCAGCAAGCGCAUCGCUUGAAAGAUGAGAA